AGAGUUUGAUCCUGGCUCAGAAUCAACGCUGGCGGCGUGCCUAACACAUGCAAGUCGAACGCGAAAGCCCCGCAAGGGGUGAGUAGAGUGGCAAACGGGUGAGUAACACGUGGGUGAUCUGCCUCGGAGUGGGGGAUAACGACCCGAAAGGGUCGCUAAUACCGCAUGACAUCCUGCCUUUGGAUAGGUGGAGAUCAAAGCCGGGGAUCGCAAGACCUGGCGCUUGGAGAGGAGCCCGCGGCCGAUUAGCUAGUUGGUGAGGUAACGGCUCACCAAGGCGACGAUCGGUAUCCGGCCUGAGAGGGCGGACGGACACACUGGGACUGAGACACGGCCCAGACUCCUACGGGAGGCAGCAGUGGGGAAUUGUUCGCAAUGGGCGCAAGCCUGACGACGCAACGCCGCGUGGAGGACGAAGAUUUUCGGAUCGUAAACUCCUUUCGAUCGGGAAGAACGGCUGCCGGGUGAAUAAUCCGGCAGAGUGACGGUACCGA
Molecule: ribosomal RNA, 494 nt
Filed under: uncultured bacterium
Lineage: Bacteria
Description: bacterial SSU rRNA
Rfam family: Bacterial small subunit ribosomal RNA
Source: RNAcentral